This 253-nucleotide ribosomal RNA is filed under the name uncultured bacterium. Its description in RNAcentral is "partial 16S ribosomal RNA". It matches the Rfam family "Bacterial small subunit ribosomal RNA", at positions 524 to 776 of the family's 1533-position model. The record is from RNAcentral.
UACGUAGGUGGCAAGCGUUGUUCGGAAUUAUUGGGCGUAAAGGGCGCGUAGGCGGCAUGUUAAGUCGGCUGUGAAAGCCUGGGGCUCAACCCCAGAGGGUCGGCCGAUACUGGCAAGCUAGAGUACGGAAGAGGUAGCUGGAAUUCCCGGUGUAGCGGUGAAAUGCGUAGAUAUCUGGAGGAACACCGGUGGCGAAGGCGGCAUCCUGGACCGGCAUUGACGCUGAGGCGCGAAAGCCAGGGGAGCAAACGGG